AAUCUCACCCAUUCAGUGACAGUCCUGGAAGAACCUUAUGGAAGCCUCAGGGAACAGAAUUUCCUUGAGAGCCUGAUAGGGCGGCCUAGACAACCUAGUAGCUGCCCAUCUGGGGACUCCUCCUCCUAUCCCAAAGUUGUCUUAGGCCUCCCAGACACACCUCCCAGUAGACCUCAUCAAACCAGGGAGCUGGGCCUCUGUUUGCUGGCCCCCCGCUCUAGAACACUGCCCCAGCCUUCAGGGCAGUUGGAGGCAGGAUGGGAGCCCGGGGGAGGCCAGCCCACGCCAUCUGUCGCAGUGCCCUCCAGAGGCAGCUCAAGUGUGCAGGAUUCCUUUCCUGUCCAGACAGGCCACCACCCAUGGCAACCAGCCGCAGCAGCCUUAUCACCCUCUCUGUUCCCGACAGCGCAGGGGGCUUUGCCCCAGGUCGCUUGGAGUCAGAGCAAGAGAGGCCUAAUCCUCCACUUGGGAAGGUCCAGUGGUUGCCAGGUAACACUGCAGGCAGAGGUUGGGGGGCUGCAGAGGACAAGCAAGGUGGGGCGAUGGAUGAACCCAGAGUCUAAGUACAAACCCGUGAAAGCUCAAGCCCACGGGAGGGACAUUAACAUCACUUCCCGCCCCCCACACACACACUUCGGUGCAAGAGGUCACCGGGUGAUGCAGGCCAGACUCCGCUUCUUCACUGGAAGUGUCUUGCUGCCAAGGACAGUGAGCAGGGAAGCCAGUGGGAUGGAUGACAAAACCCCAGGUUGUUCCCAAGGGGGCGGGGGGCAGCACACUGCUACGGAAGCAGCCCUUUCCACACUGUGGGCACCUCAGCCGGGGUUCUCCUCCCUGGGGGGACGGGCAAGGGGAUCACAGCCUGCCUCUCUGGCCAAGGCGGUGUGGUCCCUGGAAACACACAAAGGAACGCAUGCAAAGGGCAUCCCAUUGAAAAAGGAGGCAGCCCAGGCACCUGGGUGGCUCAGUCGGUUAAGUGCCGGCCUUUGGCUCAGGUCAUGA
This 1002-nucleotide long non-coding RNA is filed under the name Canis lupus familiaris (dog). Its description in RNAcentral is "lncRNA (ENSCAFG00040016441.1)". The record is from RNAcentral. Lineage: Eukaryota; Metazoa; Chordata; Mammalia; Carnivora; Canidae.